GCAUAUCAUAUUAAGGUGUCAAAUAAAUUUUGCGGUUCGCUAUGAAAAAAGAUUUGAUUGUGAUCUUU
This 68-nucleotide small nucleolar RNA is filed under the name Tetranychus urticae (two-spotted spider mite). RNAcentral describes it as "snoRNA tetur28g02614". Lineage: Eukaryota; Metazoa; Arthropoda; Arachnida; Trombidiformes; Tetranychidae. The record is from RNAcentral.